GGGGCCUUGUUUAGUUACCAAAGUUUGGAGGUGUCAAAUUACUGUUACAGCACUGUAGCACACUGUAGCGUUUCGUUUGUAUUUGUGAAUUAUUGUCCAAAUAUUGACUAAUUAGGCUCAAAAGAUUCGUCUCGCAAAGUACAACAAAACUGUGCAAUUAGUUUUUAAUUUUAUCUACAUUUAGUACUCUAUGCAUGUACCGCAAGUUUGAUGUGAUGAGGAAUCUUCUUUUUGCAUAGUGCUAAAGUUGGGAGUUGGGGGUGAACUAAACAAGGGCUAAACAAGGUCCUAGCGAAAGCAUGAAUAUAUAUACACUAGUCAUCAGAUCCCCAGCUCUCCGUCACCUCCGACGCGGCGACUCCAAAAAGGCUGGCAGAUGUGAUGGAGAGCCGGCAAAAGCGGCGCCGAACGGUGAGUCGCCUCACUUUCGCCCUCUUGUAUCGUAGCAAGGGGAAAGGUCGAGAGACACGUUUUCACUCUCUUAGUGUUAAAAAACUGUUCUCAAUUAGCAACCUUGUUA
Molecule: long non-coding RNA, 520 nt
Filed under: Setaria viridis
Lineage: Eukaryota; Viridiplantae; Streptophyta; Magnoliopsida; Poales; Poaceae
Description: long non-coding RNA (SVIR_LNC011330)
Source: RNAcentral